AAAAUACAUAAUCACCGUAAAAUUAUUUUAUGUUACGUAUAUUUAUGAAUGUAAAAUUGUAGUGUAAAAUGUACAUAAAAAACAAAUUUUUAGGUCUUGUGACCCAUAAUUUUGUUUUUUUAUGUCAAAUUUUAUGUUGUGAAUCAAUGUGAAUGUAACUAUUUGUAUAUCAUAUGUAAUUUAUGUAUGAAACAAUCGUAAAAUUACCUCGGGUGAAGAAUAACUUAUUCAUGAAUAGUGUUACUCACACACACACACACACACACACACACACACACACACACACACACACACACACACACACACACACACACACACACACACACACACACACACACACACACACA
This 347-nucleotide long non-coding RNA is filed under the name Hordeum vulgare. Its description in RNAcentral is "long non-coding RNA (HVUL_LNC007352)". The record is from RNAcentral. Lineage: Eukaryota; Viridiplantae; Streptophyta; Magnoliopsida; Poales; Poaceae.